This 496-nucleotide ribosomal RNA is filed under the name uncultured bacterium. Its description in RNAcentral is "partial 16S ribosomal RNA". It matches the Rfam family "Bacterial small subunit ribosomal RNA", at positions 28 to 506 of the family's 1533-position model. The record is from RNAcentral.
GAUGAACGCUGGCGGCGUGCCCAAUACAUGCAAGUCGAGCGAACAGACGAGGAGCUUGCUCCUCUGACGUUAGCGGCGGACGGGUGAGUAACACGUGGAUAACCUACCUAUAAGACUGGGAUAACUUCGGGAAACCGGAGCUAAUACCGGAUAAUAUAUUGAACCGCAUGGUUCAAUAGUGAAAGACGGUUUUGCUGUCACUUAUAGAUGGAUCCGCGCCGCAUUAGCUAGUUGGUAAGGUAACGGCUUACCAAGGCAACGAUGCGUAGCCGACCUGAGAGGGUGAUCGGCCACACUGGAACUGAGACACGGUCCAGACUCCUACGGGAGGCAGCAGUAGGGAAUCUGCCGCAAUGGGCGAAAGCCUGACGGAGCAACGCCGCGUGAGUGAGGAAGGUCUUCGGAUCGUAAAACUCUGUUAUUAGGGAAGAACAAAUGUGUAAGUAACGAUGCACGUCUUGACGGUACCUAAGCAGAAAGCCACGGCUAACUACGU